RNAcentral lists this ribosomal RNA (287 nucleotides) under uncultured bacterium. Its description in RNAcentral is "partial 16S ribosomal RNA". It matches the Rfam family "Bacterial small subunit ribosomal RNA", at positions 8 to 313 of the family's 1533-position model. The record is from RNAcentral.
AGAGUUUGAUCCUGGCUCAGGAUGAACGCUGGCGGUAUGCCUAACACAUGCAAGUCGUACGAGAGUUUUUAACUCUAGUGGCGGACGGGUGAGUAACACGUAAGAAUUUACCUUCAGGAGGGGGAUAACAAUUGGAAACAAAUGCUAAUACCCCAUAUGCUUUCGAGUGAAAUGGAUUUAUAUUUAUCCNCCUAAAGAGAAGCUUGCGUCUGAUUAGCUUUGUUGGUAAGGUAAAAGCUUACCAAGGCGACGAUCAGUAUCUGGUUUGAGAGGACGAUCAGACACAC